AGAGUUUGAUCCUGGCUCAGGACGAACGCUGGCGGCGUGCUUAACACAUGCAAGUCGAGCGGAAAGGCCCUUCGGGGUACUCGAGCGGCGAACGGGUGAGUAACACGUGAGCAACCUGCCCCUGGCUCUGGGAUAGCUCCGGGAAACCGGGAUUAAUACCGGAUAUGACCUGCUUACGCAUGUUUGCGGGUGGAAAGUUUUUCGGCUGGGGAUGGGCUCGCGGCCUAUCAGCUUGUUGGUGGGGUGAUGGCCUACCAAGGCGACGACGGGUAGCCGGCCUGAGAGGGCGGGCGGCCACACUGGGACUGAGACACGGCCCAGACUCCUACGGGAGGCAGCAGUGGGGAGUAUUGCGCAAUGGGCGGAAGCCUGACGCAGCGACGCCGCGUGGGGGAUGAAGGCCUUCGGGUUGUAAACCUCUUUCACCAGGGGCGAAGCGAAAGUGACGGUACCUGGAGAAGAAGCGCCGGCUAACUACGUGCCAGCAGCCGCGGUAAUACGUAGGGCGCAAGCGUUGUCCGGAAUUAUUGGGCGUAAAGAGCUCGUAGGCGGCCAGUUGCGUCUGCUGUGAAAUCCCGGGGCUUAACCCUGGGCGUGCAGUGGAUACGGGCUGGCUGGAGGCAGGCAGGGGAGAAUGGAAUUCCCGGUGUAGCGGUGAAAUGCGCAGAUAUCGGGAGGAACACCGGUGGCGAAGGCGGUUCUCUGGGCCUGUUCUGACGCUGAGGAGCGAAAGCGUGGGGAGCGAACAGGAUUAGAUACCCCCGUAGUCC
This 770-nucleotide ribosomal RNA is filed under the name uncultured bacterium. Its description in RNAcentral is "bacterial SSU rRNA". It matches the Rfam family "Bacterial small subunit ribosomal RNA", at positions 8 to 796 of the family's 1533-position model. The record is from RNAcentral.